AGCAAAGUAAACUAAUUUAAGUUAUUGGGCUCAUAACCCAAGUAUGCUUGUGUUACAAGCCUUUGUGU
Molecule: transfer RNA, 68 nt
Filed under: Lithophaga curta
Lineage: Eukaryota; Metazoa; Mollusca; Bivalvia; Mytilida; Mytilidae
Description: tRNA-Met
Source: RNAcentral